This 464-nucleotide ribosomal RNA is filed under the name uncultured bacterium. RNAcentral describes it as "partial 16S ribosomal RNA". It matches the Rfam family "Bacterial small subunit ribosomal RNA", at positions 28 to 507 of the family's 1533-position model. The record is from RNAcentral.
GACGAACGCUGGCGGCGUGCUUAACACAUGCAAGUCGAACGGAAAGGCCCUGCUUGCGGGGUACUCGAGUGGCGAACGGGUGAGUAACACGUGGGUGAUCUGCCCUGCACUUCGGGAUAAGCCUGGGAAACUGGGUCUAAUACCGGAGAGAAGCCAUCCUGAGUGUGAGGGGUGGAAAGUUUUUUGGGUUUGGGAUGAGCGGGCGGCCGAUCAUCUUGUUGGUGGGGUAGGGGCGGCCAAGGACGGCACGGGUAGGCAGCCGGAGAGGGUGGACGGGCAAAUUUGGACUUAGAUACGGGCCAGACUCCCACGGGAGGGAGCAGUGGGGGAUAUUGCCACAAGGGGGCGAGCCUGAUUCAGGGACGCCGGGUGGGGGAUGAAGGCCUUUGGGUUGUAAACUCCUUUCGGUAGGGACGAAGCUUUUUGUGACGGUAACUAGAUAAGAAGCACCGGCUAACUACGUG